RNAcentral lists this long non-coding RNA (124 nucleotides) under Gopherus agassizii (Agassiz's desert tortoise). Its description in RNAcentral is "lncRNA (ENSGAGG00000002133.1)". Lineage: Eukaryota; Metazoa; Chordata; Testudines; Testudinidae. The record is from RNAcentral.
CUGAAACUAAGAGUACCAGACCAUGAUUAAGAAGCAUCAUCCCAGUCUGGUUUCAUUAAGAUUACAGCAUGUGCUAGCAGACAACUUCUUGACCUCUUCUGGAGCACUUGAUCAGAAUGACUGA